RNAcentral lists this ribosomal RNA (495 nucleotides) under uncultured bacterium. RNAcentral's name for it is "partial 16S ribosomal RNA". It matches the Rfam family "Bacterial small subunit ribosomal RNA", at positions 30 to 507 of the family's 1533-position model. The record is from RNAcentral.
UGAACGCUGGCGGCGUGCCUAAUACAUGCAAGUCGAGCGAACGGACGAGAAGCUUGCUUUUCUGAUGUUAGCGGCGGACGGGUGAGUAACACGUGGAUAACCUACCUAUAAGACUGGGAUAACUUCGGGAAACCGGAGCUAAUACCGGAUAAUAUUUUGAACCGCAUGGUUCAAAAGUGAAAGACGGUCUUGCUGUCACUUAUAGAUGGAUCCGCGCUGCAUUAGCUAGUUGGUAAGGUAACGGCUUACCAAGGCAACGAUGCAUAGCCGACCUGAGAGGGUGAUCGGCCACACUGGAACUGAGACACGGUCCAGACGCCUACGGGAGGCAGCAGUAGGGAAUCUUCCGCAAUGGGCGAAAGCCUGACGGAGCAACGCCGCGUGAGUGAUGAAGGUCUUCGGAUCGUAAAACUCUGUUAUUAGGGAAGAACAUAUGUGUAAGUAACUGUGCACAUCUUGACGGUACCUAAUCAGAAAGCCACGGCUAACUACGUG